This 1392-nucleotide small RNA is filed under the name Histoplasma capsulatum var. duboisii H88. Its description in RNAcentral is "Histoplasma capsulatum H88 hypothetical RNA". Lineage: Eukaryota; Fungi; Ascomycota; Eurotiomycetes; Onygenales; Ajellomycetaceae. The record is from RNAcentral.
GCAAAGGAGAAGGCGGUGGUUGAUCUCAAACCUUCCUCGGCGUUCCCAGCCUCGAAUCAUCCAAGCAAACUUUACCACUCCCGUCACCUCCCCAGACUCCGCAAACAGCCCCUCCAAAAGCAUUAUCUCUGAUCUUUUCCAACACACAACUGUUCUCGGUUCAUUUGGUAGUUCGGGAUUAAAUUCGUGCCUAUAUUCGUCUCAUUUUCAUGUUCAAAUUCUCCAACCACUUAUUAUCGCCGCUACAUCAAGAUCUGUUGCCAAUCACACUGAUUUGAGGCCUUCGGCCCCUCAAACUCCCUCCUCUCAACACAACCACUACAUUGCAAAACGCGAGAGGCAUGGGGAUACCCGCGGCACCGGGCGAAGGCGAUGGAUAUUAUUCUUAGAAAAUAUCUCUCCGUCUGUGAUUGGAGAUCAUGACCAAACCACCAUCAUCGGCUGAUCGCAUUCAACCCCUGAUCUUUCAGCCACGCAACGGAUUCAGGUCUCCGUAUUUCGAGCUUGAACUUGUCUUCCACUGCAAAACUCAUAAAUGAGGAGUUAAUUUCUAAAUUGCUUAAUUAUCAAUUUUUUUUAAGUUGACUUGUGUGUUUCGUUGAGAGGGCGAGAGAAAGGCGCUAAAUGGAGCUGCGACUGGCCUAAAAAACUUCGACUCGACAAUUUCAACUCUCACAUGAAGCCACAGCCGAGUUCAUUCUUUAUUAUUUGAUUCAUUUUUAUCCAAUAAGGUUAAUUGCAUCAAUUUCUGCACAGAAUCGAGUUCAUCCGUUGAAAAAUAAGUUUGUAGCUCCGCAGUUCGUCCCCAAAAAUAACAGCGCAACCACAGAGAAUCAAAAACUAAAGGAUCAGAAUAUGGUUAUCUUUUCUAUUACACGAAGGAGUGUGCGCCGAGGUUCAGAAAUUUCAGAAAUUUCAGUCAAAUAUCGAAAUCGCUUAUCAGCUCUACCAUCGUUGAACUUACUACAGCUUAUCGCACCCAGUCAAACAGACACAUAACAUCCAGUUAACAUUUUUUAUCUUAAUCAAAACAUGGUACAAACCCACCCCAACAAGAACUUCCCAUCUCUCUACCUAGAAAUCCACUGUGGACAAAUCAAUCUAGUACAAUGAUAGCGAACAGAUAGAAUCCCAUCGCGGCGAUGAUGAUGGCUUUGUGCGUUGUCCUCAUCUACAAUACUGAUACUUUUCUCCACCUCUACUACCUCGAUCCAUGCAACCGCAGGUGCGCUGUAAACAUACGCAGUUCUCCUCUUGAAAUUGUAGCAGUAAUAUCGACCGUGGAAAAGGGGGGUUAAUGUGUGUUUUCAAAUUCUGUGUGUGGGAGGUAAAAAUGGGCUUUUAUCGCGAAAAUGCGACAAUAACAAUUUGUGUCGUGCGACCGAGUCGAAA